RNAcentral lists this ribosomal RNA (253 nucleotides) under uncultured bacterium. RNAcentral's name for it is "partial 16S ribosomal RNA". It matches the Rfam family "Bacterial small subunit ribosomal RNA", at positions 524 to 776 of the family's 1533-position model. The record is from RNAcentral.
CACGUAGGGUGCGAGCGUUGUCCGGAAUUAUUGGGCGUAAAGGGCUCGUAGGCGGUUUGUCGCGUCGGGAGUGAAAACCAGGUGCUUAACACCUGGCUUGCUUUCGAUACGGGCAGACUAGAGGUAUUCAGGGGAGAACGGAAUUCCUGGUGUAGCGGUGAAAUGCGCAGAUAUCAGGAGGAACACCGGUGGCGAAGGCGGCAUCCUGGACCGAGAUUGACACUGAUGAGCGAAAGCUAGGGGAGCAAACGGG